GUGGGUAACCUGCCCAUAAGACUGGGAUAACUCCGGGAAACCGGGGCUAAUACCGGAUAACAUUUUGAACCGCAUGGUUCGAAAUUGAAAGGCGGCUUCGGCUGUCACUUAUGGAUGGACCCGCGUCGCAUUAGCUAGUUGGUGAGGUAACGGCUCACCAAGGCAACGAUGCGUAGCCAACCUGAGAGGGUGAUCGGCCACACUGGGACUGAGACACGGCCCAGACUCCUACGGGAGGCAGCAGUAGGGAAUCUUCCGCAAUGGACGAAAGUCUGACGGAGCAACGCCGCGUGAGUGAUGAAGGCUUUCGGGUCGUAAAACUCUGUUGUUAGGGAAGAACAAGUGCUAGUUGAAUAAGCUGGCACCUUGACGGUACCUAACCAGAAAGCCACGGCUAACUACGUGCCAGCAGCCGCGGUAAUACGUAGGUGGCAAGCGUUAUCCGGAAUUAUUGGGCGUAAAGCGCGCGCAGGUGGUUU
This 479-nucleotide ribosomal RNA is filed under the name Bacillus cereus. RNAcentral's name for it is "bacterial SSU rRNA". It matches the Rfam family "Bacterial small subunit ribosomal RNA", at positions 117 to 581 of the family's 1533-position model. The record is from RNAcentral. Lineage: Bacteria; Bacillati; Bacillota; Bacilli; Caryophanales; Bacillaceae.